AGACUCCUAUAUACUUUGUGGGAAACACUGGCGAUUUUGCAGGUUAUCAAGUACUUGUUCUCCCCACUGUAUAUGACGUAAAAAAAAAAAGCCAAUGAAAGAAAUCCAUGUGAUUAAUAUGCACACCUAAAUGUAAUCUAAGCAUAAAACUAAUUUUAAAUGUGUAUUCAUUACAAUUAUUUUUUAUUACUAUUUUUAGUUAGAGUUUGCAAAGUCCAUUAGUGAAGGUCUCAAGAAGAGUUUCUGCCUUCGGAAAUUGCAUACUUAUUAGCCUACCUUAACUUGAUUACCUGAAGAAGUCGACAUUGUAAUUGUAAAUUUAUUGAAAUUAAAUGUUGUUUUUAGUGCAGAUUUCGUAAUUAAUUAGCACUUAAUUGUUUAUCUGAAAAAAAAAAAAGAAUCUGAAAGCACAGAAUAAAACAAAAAUGGUGAAACUGACCUGACCUAAUAGCUGCAGCAAUAUCAAAAGCAAAAUGUUGGUGAUAUAAAAACACUGCCCAUGAGCAUUUUUAGCAUGCGUUCAAAUGAAAUAUGGGGCUUGAGUGUUCGUAAAAACAACAACAAAAAUAUUUAAAUUAUUUUUUUAAAAGCUACAAUUGUCCCACUAUCAAGUCACGUGAAGUAAUGGUAAUUGCACCUGCUACGAAUGGGUCAUAGAACUUCAAAAUGAGUUUUAAAUUAAUCAUUUUAUAAACAGAUUUUUAUUCAAGUAAGGUUCUUAUUCUAAAUGUUUAUGUUUGUAAAUUCUGUGUGACUGUGUCGCGCUUUAAUUUGCAUGCGCGUGAACACUCGAGCUGCCUUCAAACACUGGAGCGGAGAUGAGUUGCCAUGGAAACGGCGCGGGGCGGGACCGCACUACUGCAACUGUCAGCAAAACUCCGUCUCUCGCUGUUGUUUUCACUGCUUUCAGCAGCAACACAAAUAAUUCCUCUUCAACAGAGGAAAGCUCCAAAAUGUCAACAUUUCUGAAGAAAGCUGCUGCCAGAGAAGUGGAAAACAGACAGAGAUCCUUCCAUGCAGAUGCCCUGCACCAUAGCAGAGUUGAGCUGAUCAUCAUCUCUAAGGCGCUAUCACCAUUAUGAUUAGAUGCUCAGCAAGUUCACUAGAGAUUACAGUAGCUCCAGUGUGGAUCCAGCCUCACUCGUGAAGACUUCAGAUGACACCAACACUCACAAAGACUUCAGAUGGUGGCAACUAUAGAUGGACACAAAACUGCCAGAUAUUAUCCUUACAUUGCAUUGGCCCGGUUUCACACACAGGGUUUAGAUUAAGCCAGGAUUAGGCCUUAGUUAAAUUAGGAUAUUUACAGUAAGUAGCUUUUUAUAAUGUACUUCAGAGAAAAAAGAAGGAAAAAAAACAUUACUGGUGUGCAUCUCUUGAGACAAACCAGUGACACUGAAAUAUUUUAAGAUAUGUCAGUGCAAGUUGAUUCCAGUUAAGACAGUUCAAAAAUGCAUUUUAUUCUGGGACUAUCUUAAGCCUUUUCUGUGGAACCAGGGAAGGGAAGGGAACGUUUGCAUGACAGUUUUGCUGACAAAUAAACAGGAAUAUCUUAGUAUACCUAACUAAGAGAAAGAGUAAACAUUGUUCUAACAUAUUACCAACAUUGUAAGAAUAGCAGGUUGAACAUCUGCAACCCUUUAAAAAUGAUGAAGGAUAGCAAUUAGGACUUUAAACUCAUGACUUGUAUUAUCUUAUAGACAUUACUUUGUUGCCAAAAGAUGCUCUCCCAGUGAGUAGAAGUCGCCUCUGGCUGAUUAAAGGAUAUUUUGCAAUUGUAUAUAACCUUGAACAUGCAUUUUUUGUAAAGCUGUUAUGAAACAAUUUGUAUUGUGAAAAGCACUAUGUGGUUUUACUAUGGUAAAACUACCAACCAUGUUAUUUAUUUUUUAAACCAUGGUUCAACUAGUAAUAUUGCUGUAAUAAUUGCUGUAAAAUUAUGGUAAUCAUGACUAUAAACGUAUGUUUUUAAACCUUGGUUGUUGUGAAACCAUAGUUCAUUUUGUUAGCAACUAUGGUUUUACUGCAAAUGCUGUGGUAAAACCAUGGUUAAUUUUCAUAAGGAUACAACUUAUCUUAUAAUGUACUUGACUAAUAGUCACAUUGGAUAAAAUAAUCUGAUAAAUGUAAUACAAUGUAUCCAUUUCAUCUGUUCACUGAAAAUUAAUUUAAUAAAAAUAAAUUUGCAACUGC
Molecule: non-coding RNA, 2193 nt
Organism: Pimephales promelas (fathead minnow)
Lineage: Eukaryota; Metazoa; Chordata; Actinopteri; Cypriniformes; Leuciscidae
Source: RefSeq, a predicted model, not a curated record